CCUACGGGAGGCAGCAGUAGGGAAUCUUCCGCAAUGGACGAAAGUCUGACGGAGCAACGCCGCGUGAACGAUGAAGGCCUUCGGGUCGUAAAGUUCUGUUGUUAGGGAAGAACAAGUGCUAGUUAAAUAAGCUGGCACCUUGACGGUACCUAACCAGAAAGCCACGGCUAACUACGUGCCAGCAGCCGCGGUAAUACGUAGGUGGCAAGCGUUGUCCGGAAUUAUUGGGCGUAAAGCGCGCGCAGGCGGUUUCUUAAGUCUGAUGUGAAAGCCCCCGGCUCAACCGGGGAGGGUCAUUGGAAACUGGGAAACUUGAGUGCAGAAGAGGAAAGUGGAAUUCCAAGUGUAGCGGUGAAAUGCGUAGAGAUUUGGAGGAACACCAGUGGCGAAGGCGACUUUCUGGUCUGUAACUGACGCUGAGGCGCGAAAGCGUGGGGAGCAAACAGGAUUAGAUACCCUGGUAGUCCACGCUGUAAACGAUGAGUGCUAAGUGUUAGAGGGUUUCCGCCCUUUAGUGCUGAAGUUAACGCAUUAAGCACUCCGCCGNGGAGUACGGUCGCGAGAGNGAACGUAACGAAGAAGUUAGAGGCGUUGAGACGUUGCCGACGGCGACGACGAGGGAGGAGG
RNAcentral lists this ribosomal RNA (627 nucleotides) under uncultured bacterium. RNAcentral's name for it is "bacterial SSU rRNA". The stretch from base 1 to 545 matches the Rfam family "Bacterial small subunit ribosomal RNA", at positions 338 to 873 of the family's 1533-position model. The record is from RNAcentral.